RNAcentral lists this ribosomal RNA (496 nucleotides) under uncultured bacterium. RNAcentral's name for it is "partial 16S ribosomal RNA". It matches the Rfam family "Bacterial small subunit ribosomal RNA", at positions 29 to 507 of the family's 1533-position model. The record is from RNAcentral.
AUGAACGCUGGCGGCGUGCCUAAUACAUGCAAGUCGAGCGAACAGACGAGGAGCUUGCUCCUCUGACGUUAGCGGCGGACGGGUGAGUAACACGUGGAUAACCUACCUAUAAGACUGGGAUAACUUCGGGAAACCGGAGCUAAUACCGGAUAAUAUAUUGAACCGCAUGGUUCAAUAGUGAAAGACGGUUUUGCUGUCACUUAUAGAUGGAUCCGCGCCGCAUUAGCUAGUUGGUAAGGUAACGGCUUACCAAGGCAACGAUGCGUAGCCGACCUGAGAGGGUGAUCGGCCACACUGGAACUGAGACACGGUCCAGACUCCUACGGGAGGCAGCAGUAGGGAAUCUUCCGCAAUGGGCGAAAGCUUGACGGAGCAACGCCGCGUGAGUGAUGAAGGUCUUCGGAUCGUAAAACUUUGUUAUUAGGGAAGAACAAAUGUGUAAGUAACUAUGCACGUCUUGACGGUACCUAAUCAGAAAGCCACGGCUAACUACGUG